This 73-nucleotide transfer RNA is filed under the name Stegodyphus mimosarum. It matches the Rfam family "tRNA". From Rfam's summary of the family: Transfer RNA (tRNA) molecules are approximately 80 nucleotides in length. Lineage: Eukaryota; Metazoa; Arthropoda; Arachnida; Araneae; Eresidae. The record is from Rfam by way of RNAcentral.
GCCUUCGUGGUGUAAUGGUCAGCACGCUCGGCGCAUAACCAAGAGGUUUGUGGUUCGAUUCCCGGCGAAGGCG